GUGAAUCAUCGAAUUUUUGAACGCAAAUUGCACUCUUCUCGGUUAGUGUGCCUGUUUGAGGGUCAGCCUCUAAAAAAUCAACAUCCUUGCUGUUUCUCGGUGACGUUCGUCGGAACUUGGGUCAUAUUAAUUCGUUUGGGUUUAAGCGACUUAAAAUUUUCUUUUUGAUUCCAUGAACGUGUUUCUAAGAUUUGUUUCUUUACUCGUUUAAGUUCUCGAUUUUAAUUAGAUGU
Molecule: unclassified non-coding RNA, 233 nt
Filed under: Glomeraceae sp.
Lineage: Eukaryota; Fungi; Glomeromycota; Glomeromycetes; Glomerales; Glomeraceae
Description: partial internal transcribed spacer 2
Source: RNAcentral